GAUGAAGAACGUAGCGAAAUGCGAUAAGUAAUGCGAAUUGCAGAAUCCGUGAGUCAUCGAAUCUUUGAACGCACAUUGCGCCCCUUGGUUAUUCCGAAGGGCAUGCCUGUUCGAGCGUCAUUAUCACCCCUCAAGCCCUGGCUUGGUGUUGGACUUUAGUUAUAGCUUUGCCUAUCAACUAGUCUCAAAGAUAGUGACGGCGCCCCAGAGGGAACCGGGUACGAGGAGCUUUUUACUAAGCAUGUAUCUGGGACGACUCUGAUGGGCGACGGUCUUGUUAUACUUUUUACCUAAGUGUUGACCUCGGAUCAGGUAGGAAUACCCGCUGAACUUAAGCAUAUCAAUAAGCGGAGGA
This 355-nucleotide unclassified non-coding RNA is filed under the name soil metagenome. Its description in RNAcentral is "partial contains 5.8S ribosomal RNA, internal transcribed spacer 2, and large subunit ribosomal RNA". The stretch from base 1 to 120 matches the Rfam family "5.8S ribosomal RNA", at positions 35 to 154 of the family's 154-position model. The record is from RNAcentral.